GUCAGACAUUCAGUUCUCCGAGUGAACAAGGACACAAAACCUAAUGCAAAAAUGAUCAAACUCCUUAAAACUGCUAACAUCUUUCUUCUUGUGUUGGCUGGCCUCUCAAUAAUGGGACUCACUUAUUUAAGCUACACCUUCAACACACUCAGAUAUCCCGAAGAAGACCAAAGAAUCUGCCUCAAAGGAGAAAGAGAGCACCAGGAAAACUUUCAGUUGCAA
This is a long non-coding RNA of Ctenopharyngodon idella (grass carp), 222 nucleotides long. RefSeq lists it as uncharacterized. Lineage: Eukaryota; Metazoa; Chordata; Actinopteri; Cypriniformes; Xenocyprididae. The record is from RefSeq and is a predicted model, not a curated record. The transcript has 4 exons.